GAGCGCCUCGCAAGAGGAGCGGGACGGGUGAGUAACGCGUGGAACCCAUCUCUACGGAACAACUCCGGGAAACUGGAGCUAAUACCGUAUACGUCCUUCGGGAGAAAGAUUUAUCGGAGAUGGAUGAGCCCGCGUUGGAUUAGCUAGUUGGUGGGGUAAUGGCCUACCAAGGCGACGAUCCAUAGCUGGUCUGAGAGGAUGAUCAGCCACACUGGGACUGAGACACGGCCCAGACUCCUACGGGAGGCAGCAGUGGGGAAUAUUGGACAAUGGGCGAAAGCCUGAUCCACCAUGCCGCGUGAGUGAUGAAGGCCCUAGGGUUGUAAAGCUCUUUCAACGGUGAAGAUAAUGACGGUAACCGUAAAGAAGCCCCGGCUAACUUCGUGCCAGCAGCCGCGGUAAUACGAAGGGGGCUAGCGUUGUUCGGAAUUACUGGGCGUAAAGCGCACGUAGGCGGAUUGUUAAGUUAGGGGUGAAAUCCCAGGGCUCAACCCUGGAACUGCCUUUAAUACUGGCAAUCUCGAGUCCGAGAGAGGGAGUGGAAUUCCGAGUGUAGAGGUGAAAUUCGUAGAUAUUCGGAGGAACACCAGUGGCGAAGGCGGCUCACUGGCUCGGUACUGACGCUGAGUGCGAAAGCGUGGGGGAGCAAACAGGAU
This 656-nucleotide ribosomal RNA is filed under the name Mesorhizobium ciceri. RNAcentral describes it as "bacterial SSU rRNA". It matches the Rfam family "Bacterial small subunit ribosomal RNA", at positions 64 to 778 of the family's 1533-position model. Lineage: Bacteria; Pseudomonadati; Pseudomonadota; Alphaproteobacteria; Hyphomicrobiales; Phyllobacteriaceae. The record is from RNAcentral.